AACAGGAAGCAGCUUGCUGCUUCGCUUCCGAGUGGCGGACGGGUGAGUAAUGUCUGGGAAACUGCCUGAUGGAGGGGGAUAACUACUGGAAACGGUGGCUAAUACCGCAUAACGUCGCAAGACCAAAGAGGGGGACCUUCGGGCCUCUUGCCAUCAGAUGUGCCCAGAUGGGAUUAGCUAGUUGGUGAGGUAACGGCUCACCAAGGCGACGAUCCCUAGCUGGUCUGAGAGGAUGACCAGCCACACUGGAACUGAGACACGGUCCAGACUCCUACGGGAGGCAGCAGUGGGGAAUAUUGCACAAUGGGCGCAAGCCUGAUGCAGCCAUGCCGCGUGUAUGAAGAAGGCCUU
RNAcentral lists this ribosomal RNA (351 nucleotides) under Salmonella enterica subsp. enterica serovar Typhimurium. RNAcentral describes it as "bacterial SSU rRNA". It matches the Rfam family "Bacterial small subunit ribosomal RNA", at positions 65 to 418 of the family's 1533-position model. Lineage: Bacteria; Pseudomonadati; Pseudomonadota; Gammaproteobacteria; Enterobacterales; Enterobacteriaceae. The record is from RNAcentral.